RNA transcript from Chiloscyllium plagiosum (whitespotted bambooshark), 1053 nucleotides. RefSeq lists it as uncharacterized. NCBI's taxonomy places the organism in Eukaryota, Metazoa, Chordata, Chondrichthyes, Orectolobiformes, Hemiscylliidae. The record is from RefSeq and is a predicted model, not a curated record.
CAGGCCCCGCUCAAGUUCUGCGCAUGCUUCAAAAGGUGAACUCAGAGACAGAUGCGCAUGCGUUUAGGGUCUGUCUGUUUCUGACCUGAAAACUGUCGGAAUUGAUCAUUCGUCUGCAUCUGGCCCAGGGUUUGCAAAGGCAAGAUCAGCCACAGAUUGGUUCAUGAUUGCUGUUCAGAGAUUUUUGCCUGUGCGUCUGUACCAAGAAACUACUCGGGGCAUGCUGUAUAAUACAAGGAAGCUGAACUCAGUCAAUUAAAGACAAGGAGACUCAAGGAUGAAGCUGAAACUAACUCAUCAAAGUUGAAACUUAAAAGUACAUGCUACUUAUUUUGUGCAACCUCAGAAUCAAUGCUGUGACUGAGGCGACGCAGCAGACAAAAAUAGAAAAUGACAAGCGAACUUUUCUGAAGGGUUUCCACUGGGAAUCAUAUGCAAGUUAUUCUCUAGCAAAGUUUGAACAACCUCUGCCAUUCCUUCCAAUUUACAACAUGAUUUUUAAAUACUUUGCUGAAAAGACACUAAAGAUCUGCGACAUAUGGGUCAAUUUUCUUUGUUAAAAUCAAAUCAAACUGUGGUGUUAAAUUCUCUUCCCCAACUGACAGUGCAUUUUGUAUUAGUGCAAUUGCAAAAGAAGCUGCACAAAUACCUACUGAGCACUCCCACAGUCAGGUUAACAUUGAAACAUUUCUACUUUGGAUUUCCAUGAUUUGAAUGAAAGAAUGCAUAUCAUUCAGCUUAAUUUCUAGUUGACUGACCUUUUUCUACAUUUGUCAUGGAAGACUCUAUGGUAUCAGCUGCUCCCGCUACUCAGUGCUAAAAAUGAUAUAAAAUAAAUUACGAAGCUGUGGCAUGUUAAAUAUCCCAAUAAGUAAAAUAAUGCUUCACCCUGGGGAAUGAAAAGUUCUGCUGCACUGUAAACCGAGUCCAAAGCCAGUUUUGUAUUUUGCUGCACUUUGAAUAUGGUUCCUUACAAUAUCGUGACUUUUACAAAAAACAACACAAACACAAAUAUAGAAGAGGAGUUGAUGAUUUAACUACUUCCACCUACUU